GAUGAACGCUGGCGGCGUGCCUAACACAUGCAAGUCGAGCGAACAGACGAGGAGCUUGCUCCCCUGACGUUGGCAGCGGACGGGAGAGUAACACGUGGAUGAACUACCUAUAAGACUGGGAUAACAACGGGAAACAGGAUCUAAUGCCGGAUAAUAUAUCGAACCGCAUGGUUCCAUAGUGAAAGACGGUUUUGCUUUCGCUAAUAGCUUGAUAAGCGCCGCAUGAGCUAGUUGGUAAGGUAACGGCUUAGCAAGGCAACGAGGCGUAGCCGACCUGAGAGGGUGAUCGGACACACUGGAACUGAGACACGGUACAGACUCCGACGGGAGGCAGCAGUAGGGAAUCUUCCGCAAUGGGCGAAAGCCUGACGGAGCAACACCGCGUGAGUGAUGAAGGUCCUAGGAUGGGAAAGCGCUGUUGUCCGGAAAGAAGAAAUGCUUAAGUACCUAUGCAGGUCAUGACGGUACCGAAUCAAUAAGCUCCGGCUAACUCCGUG
RNAcentral lists this ribosomal RNA (497 nucleotides) under uncultured bacterium. Its description in RNAcentral is "partial 16S ribosomal RNA". It matches the Rfam family "Bacterial small subunit ribosomal RNA", at positions 28 to 507 of the family's 1533-position model. The record is from RNAcentral.